CGCUGGCGGCGUGCCUAACACAUGCAAGUCGAACGGGGAUUUGUUCGGCAGAAUCCUAGUGGCGAACGGGUGAGUAACGCGUAGGCAACCUGCCCCCCGGCCGGGGACAACACGCCGAAAGGUGUGCUAAUACCGGAUACGAAGACGGCAUCGCAUGGUGCCGUUUUGAAAGAUGGCCUCUACUUGUAAGCUAUCACUUAGAGAUGGGCCUGCGUCUGAUUAGCUAGUUGGUGGGGUAACGGCUCACCAAGGCGACGAUCAGUAGCCGGUCUGAGAGGAUGAACGGCCACAUUGGGACUGAGACACGGCCCAGACUCCUACGGGAGGCAGCAGUGGGGAAUCUUCCGCAAUGGGCGAAAGCCUGACGGAGCAACGCCGCGUGAAGUGAAGAAGGUCUUCGGAUCGUAAAGCUCUGUCGAAGGGGACGAACGUGGGUUCUAUCAACAACGGAACCUAAUGACGGUACCUUUCAAGAAAGCCACGGCUAACUACGUGCCAGCCGCUGC
This 506-nucleotide ribosomal RNA is filed under the name uncultured bacterium. Its description in RNAcentral is "bacterial SSU rRNA". It matches the Rfam family "Bacterial small subunit ribosomal RNA", at positions 34 to 518 of the family's 1533-position model. The record is from RNAcentral.